AGCAAAAUAGAAGAUGAAGGUCUAGCUGUGCCAGUCAGUGCUGAGCCACACAGUUGCUGCUGGCAUGUUUGCAAAAUAGCACAAGGUGUAGCAAAAUAGAAGAUGAAGGUCUAGCUGUGCCAGUCAGUGCUGAGCUACACAGUUGCUGCUGGCAUGUUUGCAAUAUAGCACAAGGUGCUGUAAAAUGAAGAUAUAUUGUUAAAUAUCAUGAGAUAGAAAUAAAAGAUGAAGGUCUAGCUGUACCCGUCCCGAGCCACACUACUGCAGCCACGUUGCUGCUGGCAUUUUUGCAAAAUAGCACAAGGUCACAACAAUUGAUGUAACAAAUAUAAUCAAUGGACCAGGCACCUGCACCAUGAUUCUUUGGAAUACUAAAAUUCGUCUCUUUAUGUCUGUACUUCUCAUAAUGAAAAAUGUCACGUUUUUAUGAAAGAAAUAAUGGAAUCAAAUAAUAAAUAAAACAAGCAUAUGCUGGAAGUCCUCAGAAACAGCUCCGACUUUGAUGAUUUUUUUUAAAGUCAUGUUUUUUAAGUUAUUUAAAAUCAGAAAUGUUUUGGUGGACGAAAUUAUUUAAAUUGUUAAAAAAUAUCUAUGCUAUUUAUACAUAUUUUUUUUUUAAAUACAACCGACUUCAACAAUACACACUUAUGCAGAAAACUAACAAACGAAAGAAAAUAUUAUAAUAUUUUCUAUCUAUUGAUUACUUUGAAGGCGGUGCCAAUGUUCCAAUUAAUGGGCCGACAAUUAGUUAUCUAUUGUUUACUAGCUAUAGGGCUCGAAUUGCUUUUUCAUAUCUUUAAAAGACUAUCUUCGGAAUGAACCCUUUAUAAUAAAAAAGUAUUAUCAAAAUCGGACCACUCAAUAAAAAGUUAUACUUGGUUGUAUACUAAAAUUAAUGGUUAAACAAUCAAUCAUCCCCUGUUUUCGUAAUGUAAAACCAAGAAUAACUGUUAACAUGAGUAGUCCGAUUUUGAUAAUUCUUUUGAUUGAUCAUUCUUGAUUGUUUUAGUUUAAAACCAAGCAUGUCUUCGAAUUCCGAUUUGAAUAACUUUGUUUUAAAUAGAAAGGGUAUAUUCCGACAAUGGUCCCAAAUCAUUAUAAAUUUAAAAAAAACGAAGAUGACUGGUUAUUUUCCCAUUAAUUGUAUUGUAAAACUAUGCGUAACUUAUUACGAAGUGGUCCGAUUUCGUAAAUUCUUUAUAGAUUGUAAAGGUAUUUUGAUUGUAAAGCUCCCAUAUAAAUUUUAAAAAACAAUUCCAAUCCUAAAUGUGCGAUUGAUUGUUUUCUCAUUCAUUUUAAUGUAAAACCAAGCAUAACUUUUUAUUGGGUGGUUCGAUUUUGAUUAUUCUUUUCUUGAUAGAAAGGGUAUAUUUCUAAAAGUCUCAUAAAAUGUUGGAAAUUUCACAAUUUCAAACCUAAUAGUAGGAAAAUAGAAGAUGAUUAAUUGUUUUCCCAUUUAUUGUAAUGUUAAACUAUGCGUAACUUUUUACUGAGUGGACCGAUUUUGAAAAUUCUUUACUUUUUGUAAAGGGUUUAUUUCGAAGUAGGUCCCAUAUAAAUUUUGGAAAACAAUUCGAAUCCUUAAGGUGGAAAAAAACUGUACGAUUGAUUGCCUACCCAUUAAUUGUACAAUUGGCACCGGCUUCAAAGUAAUCAGUAGAUAUAAAAUAUUAUAAUGUUUUCUUCAGCUUAUUAGUUUACUGCAUAACUUUGUGUUUUUGAAGUCGGUAGUGUUUGUUUUUUAAUUAUUUAUUAUAUAAAUAGCAUAACUAUUGUUAAAUAGUAUAAAUCGUUCCAUCCUCACUCCAAAAGGUUUCUGAUUUCAAAUAAUAUGAAGAAACAAACUGAACAAAAAAAAUCAUCAAAAUCAGAGCUGUUUCUGAGGAAGUAGAGGGUAAAUGCUCUAUUGAUUCGCCUAAAAGUAAUAUUAUGAUUUUUUAUCGCAUUAGGUUGUAAAGUUCGGCUAGUGAAAGUAGAGACUGAAAUUGCCCGCCAAAUUUAAAAAUCAUAUAAACAAAGUAAAAAAACAUGCGUUUUCAUAAUUUACUUAAAUUAGUUUUUAUUUGUGAAUACAUUAUUACCUAUACUAUAAGUGUUAAACUCAGUUAUUCCAAUAUUUGCACUAUAAUUUUGAGAAUUUACUCCGAUUUUUUAAAAUUUGGCGGGUGAUUUCAGUUUCUACUUUCAUUAGCCAAAUUCUAAUAAUUUUAUUGUUUAUGAAAUUUAUACUAAUUAGAAAGAGGAAGAAUUUGAUUAUUUGUUUGUUUGCAUUGAAUAGGCUCUGAAACUACUUUGCUGAUUUAAAAAUUUCUUACAGCAUUAUAAUCAUGGAUUAUGGCCAUAAUUGUUAUCUCUGUAUUCCCACGGGAACGAGAACUACGCUGGUGAAACUGCGUGACGUUUGCAUAGUUUAUCAUAUGUACAAAUAUCCCGACAAUCUAUAUUUUUAUGUAUGAAUUGGUUAAGUUAUAAUUGACUUGAUUUUCCCAAAUAUAUCAGUGAAGUCACCCAAUUGAUGCAUAGAUAUAUUUUUAUUUUGGUUUUCAUUUUACUUUAAAGAUAAAAUUUAGUUUUAGAAGCAAAAUGAAUAUAUGUUGUAGAUUACAUUUUAGGUGCUGAUGUUUACUUAGUUAUUGAUUAAGUGCAUAAGAUUUUUUAUUUGAUAAUAAAGACAUUUCAACUUGAAA
Long non-coding RNA from Bicyclus anynana (squinting bush brown), 2687 nucleotides. RefSeq lists it as uncharacterized. NCBI's taxonomy places the organism in Eukaryota, Metazoa, Arthropoda, Insecta, Lepidoptera, Nymphalidae. The record is from RefSeq and is a predicted model, not a curated record. The transcript has 4 exons.